UUGGAGGGCAAGUCUGGUGCCAGCAGCCGCGGUAAUUCCAGCUCCAAUAGCGUAUAUUAAAGUUGUUGCAGUUAAAAAGCUCGUAGUUGAAUUUCGGGGUUAGUAGGUUGGUCAUGCCUCCGGUAUGUACCGGUCUCACUGAUUCCUCCUUCCUGAUGAGCUGUAAUGCCAUUAAUUUGGUGUUGCGGGGAAUCAGGACUGUUACUUUGAAAAAAUUAGAGUGUUUAAAGCAGGCUAACGCCUGAAUACAUUAGCAUGGAAUAAUGAAAUAGGACGUUCGAUCCUAUUUUGUUGGUUUCUAGGAUUGACGUAAUGAUUAAUAGGGAUAGUUGGGGGCAUUAGUAUUCAAUUGUCAGAGGUGAAAUUCUUGGAUUUAUUGAAGACUAACUACUGCGAAAGCAUUUGCCAAGGAUGUUUUCAUUAAUCAAGAACGAAAGUUAGGGGAUCGAAGACGAUCAGAUACCGUCGUAGUCUUAACCAUAAACUAUGCCGACUAGGGAUCGGAUGAUGUUAAUUUUUUAAUGACUCAUUCGGCGCCUUACGGGAAAC
Molecule: ribosomal RNA, 549 nt
Filed under: uncultured Rhizophagus
Lineage: Eukaryota; Fungi; Glomeromycota; Glomeromycetes; Glomerales; Glomeraceae
Description: SSU rRNA
Rfam family: Eukaryotic small subunit ribosomal RNA
Source: RNAcentral